UCUGGCUCAGGACGAACGCUGGCGGCGUGCCUAAUACAUGCAAGUCGAGCGAGCUUGCCUAGAUGAUUUUAGUGCUCGCACUAAAUGAAACUAGAUACAAGCGAGCGGCGGACGGGUGAGUAACACGUGGGUAACCUGCCCAAGAGACUGGGAUAACACCUGGGAACAGAUGCUAAUACCGGAUAACAACACUAGACGCAUGUCUAGAGUUUGAAAGAUGGUUCUGCUAUCACUCUUGGAUGGACCUGCGGUGCAUUAGCUAGUUGGUAAGGUAACGGCUUACCAAGGCAAUGAUGCAUAGCCGAGUUGAGAGACUGAUCGGCCACAUUGGGACUGAGACACGGCCCAAACUCCUACGGGAGGCAGCAGUAGGGAAUCUUCCACAAUAGACGAAAGUCUGAUGGAGCAACGCCGCGUGAGUGAAGAAGGGUUUCGGCUCGUAAAGCUCUGUUGGUAGUGAAGAAAGAUAGAGGCAGUAACUGGCCUUUAUUUGACGGUAAUUACUUAGAAAGUCACGGCUAACUACGUGCCAGCAGCCGCGGUAAUACGUAGGUGGCAAGCGUUGUCCGGAUUUAUUGGGCGUAAAGCGAGUGCAGGCGGUUCAAUAAGUCUGAUGUGAAAGCCUUCGGCUCAACCGGAGAGUUGCAUCAGAAACUGUUGGACCUGAGUGCAGAAGAGGAGAGUGGAACUCCAUGUGUAGCGGUGGAAUGCGUAGAUAUAUGGAAGAACACCAGUGGCGAAGGCGGCUCUCUGGUCUGCAACUGACGCUGAGGCUCGAAAGCAUGGGUAGCGAACAGGAUUAGAUACCCUGGUAGUCCAUGCCGUAAACGAUGAGUGCUAAGUGUUGGGAGGUUUCCGCCUCUCAGUGCUGCAGCUAACGCAUCAAGCACUCCGCCUGGGGAGUACGACCGCAAGGUUGCAACUCAAAUGAAUUGACGGA
This 940-nucleotide ribosomal RNA is filed under the name uncultured Bacillota bacterium. Its description in RNAcentral is "bacterial SSU rRNA". It matches the Rfam family "Bacterial small subunit ribosomal RNA", at positions 18 to 917 of the family's 1533-position model. Lineage: Bacteria; Bacillati; Bacillota. The record is from RNAcentral.